RNAcentral lists this ribosomal RNA (464 nucleotides) under Vreelandella stevensii. RNAcentral describes it as "partial 16S ribosomal RNA". It matches the Rfam family "Bacterial small subunit ribosomal RNA", at positions 339 to 795 of the family's 1533-position model. The record is from RNAcentral. Lineage: Bacteria; Pseudomonadati; Pseudomonadota; Gammaproteobacteria; Oceanospirillales; Halomonadaceae.
CUACGGGGGGCGGCCGUGGGGAAUAUUGGACAAUGGGCGAAAGCCUGAUCCCGCCAUGCCGCGUGUGUGAAGAAGGCCUUCGGGUUGUAAAGCACUUUCAGUGGGGAAGAAAGCCUUGGGGCUAAUACCCUCGAGGAAGGACAUCACCCACAGAAGAAGCACCGGCUAACUCCGUGCCAGCAGCCGCGGUAAUACGGAGGGUGCGAGCGUUAAUCGGAAUUACUGGGCGUAAAGCGCGCGUAGGCGGUCUGAUAAGCCGGUUGUGAAAGCCCCGGGCUCAACCUGGGAACGGCAUCCGGAACUGUCAGGCUAGAGUGCAGGAGAGGAAGGUAGAAUUCCCGGUGUAGCGGUGAAAUGCGUAGAGAUCGGGAGGAAUACCAGUGGCGAAGGCGGCCUUCUGGACUGACACUGACGCUGAGGUGCGAAAGCGUGGGUAGCAAACAGGAUUAGAUACCCGGGUAGUC